Molecule: ribosomal RNA, 261 nt
Filed under: uncultured archaeon
Lineage: Archaea
Description: partial 16S ribosomal RNA
Rfam family: Archaeal small subunit ribosomal RNA
Source: RNAcentral
CAGCCGUAAACUAUGCGCGUUAGGUGUAUCGGUGACCACGAGUCACCGAGGUGCCGAAGGGAAACCGUGAAACGUGCCGCCUGGGAAGUACGGUCGCAAGGCUGAAACUUAAAAGGAAUUGGCGGGGGAGCACAACAACGGGUGGAGCCUGCGGUUUAAUUGGACUCAACGCCGGACAACUCACCGGGACGACAGCAAUAUGUAGGCCAGGCUGAAGACCUUGCCUGAAUCGCUGAGAGGAGGUGCAUGGCGUAGACGUCU